UACAAAUGAAGAAAAAGCUAAAGGAGAAAAUACAAGAGAAAAAAGAAAUUUUGUCCUUACCGACAAAAACGACUAAGGAAAAGAAAACUGUAAAGAUGCGUAAGAAGAAACUCGAAAGAAAAAUAAAGAAAAUUAGAAAGAUCUGCAAAAUAACUAGAAAGGAAUUGAAAAGAAUUC
Long non-coding RNA from Saccostrea echinata, 177 nucleotides. RefSeq lists it as uncharacterized. The record is from RefSeq and is a predicted model, not a curated record. The transcript is spliced from 3 exons. Lineage: Eukaryota; Metazoa; Mollusca; Bivalvia; Ostreida; Ostreidae.